This 412-nucleotide ribosomal RNA is filed under the name uncultured microorganism. RNAcentral describes it as "bacterial SSU rRNA". It matches the Rfam family "Archaeal small subunit ribosomal RNA", at positions 330 to 745 of the family's 1478-position model. The record is from RNAcentral.
GUGCAGCAGUCGCGAAACCUCCGCAAUACACGAAAGUGUGACGGGGCCAUCCCGAGUGCCGUCCGCUGAGGACGGCUUUUCCCCAGUGUACACAGCUGGGGGAAUAAGGAGAGGGCAAGCCUGGUGUCAGCCGCCGCGGUAAUACCAGCUCUCCGAGUGGUGGGGACGCUUAUUGGGCCUAAAGCAUCCGUAGCCGGCUGGGCAAGUCCUCCGUUAAAUCCAACGAUUCAAUCGUUGGGCUGUGGGGGAUACUGUCCAGCUUGGGGGCGGGAGAGGCCGACGGUAUUCCCGGGGUAGGGUGAAAUCCUAUAAUCCCGGGAGGACCACCAGUGGCGAAGGCUGUCGGCUAGAACGCGCCCGACGGUGAGGGAUGAAAGCUGGGGGAGCGAACCGGAUUAGAUACCCCGGUAGU